AUACGGGGGGAGCAAGCGUUGUCCGGAAUUACUGGGCGUAAAGGUCGUGUAGGCGGCUUGAUAAGUUAGAUGUGAAAGCCUUCUGCUUAACGGAAGAAUUGCAUUUGAUACUGUCAGGCUUGAGUUCGAGAGAGGGUAGUGGAAUUCCCAGUGUAGCGGUGAAAUGCGUAGAUAUUGGGAAGAACACCAGUAGCGAAGGCGGCUACCUGGCUCGUAACUGACGCUAAUGCGCGAAAGCGUGGGGAGCAAACAGGAUUAGAUACCCCAGUAGUCC
Molecule: ribosomal RNA, 274 nt
Filed under: uncultured bacterium
Lineage: Bacteria
Description: partial 16S ribosomal RNA
Rfam family: Bacterial small subunit ribosomal RNA
Source: RNAcentral